Molecule: ribosomal RNA, 415 nt
Filed under: Fusarium falciforme
Lineage: Eukaryota; Fungi; Ascomycota; Sordariomycetes; Hypocreales; Nectriaceae
Description: partial large subunit ribosomal RNA
Rfam family: Eukaryotic large subunit ribosomal RNA
Source: RNAcentral
UUUUGGUGAGGUGCCUUCCGAGUUCCCUGGAACGGGACGCCAUAGAGGGUGAGAGCCCCGUCUGGUUGGACACCGAUCCUCUGUAAAGCUCCUUCGACGAGUCGAGUAGUUUGGGAAUGCUGCUCUAAAUGGGAGGUAUAUGUCUUCUAAAGCUAAAUACCGGCCAGAGACCGAUAGCGCACAAGUAGAGUGAUCGAAAGAUGAAAAGAACUUUGAAAAGAGAGUUAAAAAGUACGUGAAAUUGUUGAAAGGGAAGCGCUUGUGACCAGACUUGGGCUUGGUUGAUCAUCCGGGGUUCUCCCCGGUGCACUCUUCCGGCUCAGGCCAGCAUCAGUUCGCCCUGGGGGAUAAAGGCUUCGGGAAUGUGGCUCUCUCCGGGGAGUGUUAUAGCCCGCUGCGUAAUACCCUGUGGCGG